This 449-nucleotide ribosomal RNA is filed under the name Oribatula sakamorii. RNAcentral's name for it is "SSU rRNA". It matches the Rfam family "Eukaryotic small subunit ribosomal RNA", at positions 455 to 896 of the family's 1831-position model. The record is from RNAcentral. Lineage: Eukaryota; Metazoa; Arthropoda; Arachnida; Sarcoptiformes; Oribatulidae.
AACGGGGAGGUAGUGACGAAAAAUAACAAUACGGGACUCUUAUGAGGCCCCGUAAUUGGAAUGAGAACAAUCUAAAUCCUUUAACGAGGAUCUAUUGGAGGGCAAGUCUGGUGCCAGCAGCCGCGGUAAUUCCAGCUCCAAUAGCGUAUAUUAAAGUUGUUGUGGUUAAAAAGCUCGUAGUUGGAUCUCAGUUCUAGUCUAGUGCGGUCCACUUGCCAGUGGCUCACUGCACUGACUGAACACUAUUAUCGAGCCUGUCUAUGGUGCUCUUAAUCGGGUGUCAUAGGCGAUCGAUACGUUUACUUUGAAAAAAUUAGAGUGCUCAAAGCAGGCAUGUACUUGCCCGAAUAAUGUUGCAUGGAAUAAUGGAAUAGGACCUCGGUUCUAUUUUGUUGGUCUUCGGAAUUGCCCGAGGUAAUGAUUAAGAGGGACAGACGGGGGCAUUCGUA